GCUUACGGCCAUACCACCCUGAACACGUCUGAUCUCGGAAGCUAAGCAGGGUCGGGCCUGGUCAGUACUUGGAUGGGAGACCGCCUGGGAAUACCAGGUGCUGUAAGCU
This is a ribosomal RNA of Maylandia zebra (zebra mbuna), 109 nucleotides long. Lineage: Eukaryota; Metazoa; Chordata; Actinopteri; Cichliformes; Cichlidae. The record is from Ensembl.